ACGAACGCUUGCGGCGUGCCUAACCCAUGCAAGUCGAGCGGUAAGGCCCUUCGGGGUCUACGAGCGGCGAACGGGUGAGUAAUACGUGGGUGAUCUGCCCUGCACUUCGGGAUAAGCCUGGGAAACUGGGUCUAAUACCGGACAUGACCUCCUAUCGCAUGGUGGGUGGUGGAAAGAUUUAUCGGUGCAGGAUGGGCCCGCGGCCUAUCAGCUUGUUGGUGGGGUAAUGGCAUACCAAGGCGACGACGGGUAGCCGACCUGAGAGGGUGACCGGCCACACUGGGACUGAGACACGGCCGAGACUCCUACGGGGGGCAGCAGUGGGGAAUAUUGCACAAUGGGCGGAAGCCUGAUGCAGCGACGCCGCGUGGGGGAUGACGGCCUUCGGGUUGUAGACCUCUUUCAGCAGGGACGAAGCGCAAGUGACGGUACCUGCAGAAGAAGCACCGGCUAACUACGUG
Molecule: ribosomal RNA, 461 nt
Filed under: uncultured bacterium
Lineage: Bacteria
Description: partial 16S ribosomal RNA
Rfam family: Bacterial small subunit ribosomal RNA
Source: RNAcentral